UGUAUUUUGUGUCCGUGACAAACGGUGGCAGCAAGUAGUGAUGGGCGGCAUCAAUAGGGCGGUAGAGUGGUAGUGGCAGCAAGGCGCGACAGCGGCAAUAGGGUGGCAGCGGCGGCAGCUUGGUAGCAACUUGGCGAUAGUUUGGCAGCAGCUCAAUGGUUGUUUAGCGACAGGCAGGAGGCGCAAUAGAGAAUAAGCUGAGGUGAAGCUGGGCUGGAUCAAGUAUUCUAAGCAAGCAUGGCAGAGAGUGGAACAAGUGCUCUAAGCAAGCAGCUAAUGUGUGAUGAGCUAGCAAGAACAACAGUAAGAUCAUGAAGCAAACACUUAGCAAGAGUAACAUUAGGUUUGAAGAGUCAAGACUAGAGCAAAGAAAAUUGUGACAGUGUAUAAAAGAGAAUCAUGCUGAUAAUAUGUUGAGAAUGUUUAGAAAGAUACAAGAGUAAUAGUAAGUAAUAUACACAUACAAGAGUAGUAGUAAGUCAUACACACAAGAGGGUUUUUAAGGAGAGAGAGCUCUAUACAUAAAAAUCUAUUGAUCAGGUUGUGUCUUGUAUACAGGAAGAGAAAGGGAAGAGGAUAAAUAAUACUUCUCCAUUAG
RNAcentral lists this long non-coding RNA (598 nucleotides) under Physcomitrium patens. RNAcentral's name for it is "long non-coding RNA (PPAT_LNC010757)". Lineage: Eukaryota; Viridiplantae; Streptophyta; Bryopsida; Funariales; Funariaceae. The record is from RNAcentral.